GGGUCAGUAGGUUGGUCGUGCCACCGGUACGUACUGGUCUCACUGAUUCCUCCUUCCUGAAGAACCGUAAUGCCAUUAAUUUGGUGUUGCGGGGAAACAGGACUGUUACUUUGAAAAAUUAGAGUGUUUAAAGCAAGCUAACGCUUGAAUACAUUAGCAUGGAAUAAUGAAAUAGGACGAUCGAUCCUAUUUUGUUGGUUUCUGGGAUUGACGUA
RNAcentral lists this ribosomal RNA (215 nucleotides) under Glomeromycotina sp. Its description in RNAcentral is "partial small subunit ribosomal RNA". The stretch from base 40 to 215 matches the Rfam family "Eukaryotic small subunit ribosomal RNA", at positions 686 to 864 of the family's 1831-position model. The record is from RNAcentral. Lineage: Eukaryota; Fungi; Glomeromycota.